UUACAUGUAGCCUAAUGCUAAUGUGUCAGCACAGAUUCUUUCGAACACCCGUUAAGUUAUCUGGUGAUAAAGCUUUUGAAUGCCAACGGUAUUGUUAUGUGAGGCUAGCAUUGUAAUUGUUAUAAAAGGAUAACGUUUCAUUGUAGUCGUAUGUUAAGUGUGUUUGGAUGAAGCAUCUGCUAAUCAUACACAUAGCUAACGGUAUAUGGACUCUACAGCCCAUUAUGAUGUGGUGAAGUGACUGUGCUGUGGCAGAGACUGUAGCGUGUGUGCUUUACAUGAGAGAGGUCAGGGGUUCAAGACUGAGUCGAUGGGUGUGAGGGAUGGGUAGGCCUGUCAUGGGAGGCGGAAAAAUGGCCAGCAGGAAGGUGUGCAGCAACCACUGGAAUGACCUCUUCCAUCUCCUCCACUAACAGCUCCUCAUCAGCCGGCAAUGGGAUGUGAUCCUGAAGAGCCAUGUUGCAGAAGCGCCGCCACCAAAACUACACUGCACGCCUUUGCAGGAUGGAGCUUCAGGCCACCAGCGGAUUUGCUCACACACCUUUCCACAUGCCCAAGGCCCUCUCCACAACAACGCGGAGCCGGCUAUGGGCGUUGUUGUACCGCGCCUCUGCCUCGCUGUUGGGCUCCUAGAUGGAGCAGUUGACAUGCUUGUAUUAUCAUAGGGGGUUGAUGGAAUAAAGUAGGUCUUGAAAUGUCAGUGCACUCAGGGAAUAUAGACAUGCAUUUGAAAACAACA
Molecule: long non-coding RNA, 739 nt
Organism: Alosa sapidissima (American shad)
Lineage: Eukaryota; Metazoa; Chordata; Actinopteri; Clupeiformes; Clupeidae
Exons: 3
Source: RefSeq, a predicted model, not a curated record